UGCAAGUCGAACGAACUCUGGUAUUGAUUGGUGCUUGCAUCAUGAUUUACAUUUGAGUGAGUGGCGAACUGGUGAGUAACACGUGGGAAACCUGCCCAGAAGCGGGGGAUAACACCUGGAAACAGAUGCUAAUACCGCAUAACAACUUGGACCGCACGGUCCGAGUUUGAAAGAUGGCUUCGGCUAUCACUUUUGGAUGGUCCCGCGGCGUAUUAGCUAGAUGGUGGGGUAACGGCUCACCAUGGCAAUGAUACGUAGCCGACCUGAGAGGGUAAUCGGCCACAUUGGGACUGAGACACGGCCCAAACUCCUACGGGAGGCAGCAGUAGGGAAUCUUCCACAAUGGACGAAAGUCUGAUGGAGCAACGCCGCGUGAGUGAAGAAGGGUUUCGGCUCGUAAAACUCUGUUGUUAAAGAAGAACAUAUCUCAGAGUAACUGUUCAGGUAUUGACGGUAUUUAACCAGAAAGCCACGGCUAACUACGUGCCAGCAGCCGCGGUAAUACGUAGGUGGCAAGCGUUGUCCGGAUUUAUUGGGCGUAAAGCGAGCGCAGGCGGUUUUUUAAGUCUGAUGUGAAAGCCUUCGGCUCAACCGAAGAAGUGCAUCGGAAACUGGGAGACUUGAGUGCAGAAUAGGACAGUGGAACUCCAUGUGUAGCGGUGAAAUGCGUAGAUUUAUGGAAGAACACCAGUGGCGAAGGCGGCUGUCUGGUCUGUAACUGACGCUAAGGCUCGAAAGUAUGGGUAGCAGACAGGAUUAGAUACCCUGGUAGUCCAUACCGUACACGAUGAAUGCUAAGUGUUGGAGGGUUUCCGCCCUUCAGUGCUGCAGCUAACGCAUUAAGCAUUCCGCCGGGGGAGUACGGCCGCAGGGCUGAAACUCACAGGAAUUGACGGGGGCCCGCACAAGCGGUGG
RNAcentral lists this ribosomal RNA (915 nucleotides) under Lactiplantibacillus plantarum. RNAcentral describes it as "bacterial SSU rRNA". It matches the Rfam family "Bacterial small subunit ribosomal RNA", at positions 56 to 935 of the family's 1533-position model. Lineage: Bacteria; Bacillati; Bacillota; Bacilli; Lactobacillales; Lactobacillaceae. The record is from RNAcentral.